GGAUUAGAUACCCUGGUAGUCCACGCCGUAAACGAUGUCUACUAGCCGUUGGGGGGCAUGUCCCCUUAGUGGCGCAGCUAACGCAUUAAGUAGACCGCCUGGGGAGUACGGCCGCAAGGCUAAAACUCAAAGGAAUUGACGGGGGCCCGCACAAGCGGUGGAGCAUGUGGUUUAAUUCGAUGCAACGCGAAGAACCUUACCUACCCUUGACAUUGACAGAAUCCUGUAGAGAUACGGGAGUGCUUCGGCCUGGAAAACAGGUGCUGCAUGGCUGUCGUCAGCUCGUGUUG
RNAcentral lists this ribosomal RNA (290 nucleotides) under uncultured bacterium. Its description in RNAcentral is "partial 16S ribosomal RNA". It matches the Rfam family "Bacterial small subunit ribosomal RNA", at positions 775 to 1067 of the family's 1533-position model. The record is from RNAcentral.